Molecule: transfer RNA, 64 nt
Filed under: Dipodomys ordii (Ord's kangaroo rat)
Lineage: Eukaryota; Metazoa; Chordata; Mammalia; Rodentia; Heteromyidae
Rfam family: tRNA
About the family: Transfer RNA (tRNA) molecules are approximately 80 nucleotides in length.
Source: Rfam by way of RNAcentral
GGGAAGUUAGCUCAGUGGUAGAGCACUUGCCUUGCAUGCAUGAGGCCCUGGGUUUGAUUCCUCA